GUAAGGAAUAUUGGUCAAUGGGGGCAACUCUGACGCAGCCAUGCCGCGUGCAGGAAGAAGGCGCUACGCGUUGUAAACUGCUUUUAACCGGGAAGAAACCCCAGGACGUGUCCUGGGUUGACGGUACCGGAGGAAUAAGCACCGGCUAACUUCGUGCCAGCAGCCGCGGUAAUACGAAGGGUGCAAGCGUUAUCCGGAUUCAUUGGGUUUAAAGGGUGCGUAGGCGGAGCGUUAAGUCAGUGGUGAAAUCCUGCAGCUUAACUGUAGACUUGCCAUUGAUACUGGCGCUCUUGAGUGCGCUUGAAGUGGGCGGAAUGUGCCGUGUAGCGGUGAAAUGCUUAGAUAUGGCACAGAACACCAAUUGCGAAGGCAGCUCACUAAGGCGAUACUGACGCUGAGGCACGAAAGCGUGGGGAUCGAACAGGAUUAGAUACCCGUGUAGUCC
RNAcentral lists this ribosomal RNA (445 nucleotides) under uncultured bacterium. RNAcentral's name for it is "partial 16S ribosomal RNA". It matches the Rfam family "Bacterial small subunit ribosomal RNA", at positions 354 to 796 of the family's 1533-position model. The record is from RNAcentral.